Falco peregrinus (peregrine falcon) is the source of this 763-nucleotide long non-coding RNA. RefSeq lists it as uncharacterized. Lineage: Eukaryota; Metazoa; Chordata; Aves; Falconiformes; Falconidae. The record is from RefSeq and is a predicted model, not a curated record. The transcript is spliced from 6 exons.
CUCCUCUUCACCAUCACCAGAGUCUCCGGUGCCAUCUAUGUCUCCGUCCUCAGCACUGCUAUCCAGGGGCGCCCCACCAAAGCUGUCCAGAGCCUCUUCGGCGUCGCGGUGCUGCCGGAACGCCAAGGGAAGUUUUGUGUCUAUGCAAAGACCGGUUCCUGCCCUGCGAGGAGCUCGAAGAACAGCAGGGAGACAGUUGUGUGGAAGGGAAGGAACAGAGGGACUAAGCAGAACCAUUCAAGAUGGAGCAGAUGGAAACAGCUGCCAACAGAUGAGCCCUGGAAAGGAUUCAAGCCACAGUACUUGCUGGAACUUGGGAGUUCGUGAUGGCCUGAGCUUACCCAACGACAGAUGGCAGGAUCGUAAUAGUCUGCCCCACAGCCACAGCUGAAAGCCCUGGCAUCCCGUCAUGGCAGCCAAGUGCAUUUACUUUAGGAUUCAGAAGCAAAGCAUCAGUGUGAAAGGAAGGAAUGUGGCAUGGCCAAAGUGUAAGGAUUGUUUCCGAGCUUGUCCUGUGCUACACCUGCAUGUUAGGUGGGGGGUUACCAUGCAUGCCGAGAUAUUUGUGCCCUACUGAGGGAUUUGGCCACCGGAGACUCGCAUCAUGGUCCCGCUGUCAUCUCCUGCUCCUGUGCAUCUGCCCACCUGACUUGUGAAAGAUGAGGAAAGGGAGCACUGAAGUCACCAGGAGAACAUUUCAGCAAGAACGGCAGUUUCUGUCGUAGCCAGCAGAUGUUGCUCUUGGACCAAAAACCGGCCCAAG